RNAcentral lists this ribosomal RNA (379 nucleotides) under uncultured bacterium. RNAcentral's name for it is "partial 16S ribosomal RNA". It matches the Rfam family "Bacterial small subunit ribosomal RNA", at positions 338 to 734 of the family's 1533-position model. The record is from RNAcentral.
CCUACGGGUGGCAGCAGUGGGGAAUAUUGCACAAUGGGCGCAACCCUGAUGCAGCGACGCCGCGUGAGUGAAGAAGUACUUCGGUAUGUAAAGCACUAUCAGCAGGGAGGAAAGUGACGGUACCUGAGUAAGAAGCCCCGGCUAACUACGUGCCAGCAGCCGCGGUAAUACGUAGGGGGCAAGCGUUAGACGGAUUUACUGGGUGUAAAGGGAGCGUAGACGGCAGUGCAAGUCUGGAGUGAAAGGCGGGGGCUCAACCCGCGGACUGCUCUGGAAACUGGACGGCUUGAGUGCAGUAGAGGGGAGUGGAAUUCCAAGUGUAGCGGUGAAAUGCGUAGAGAUUUGGAGGAAUACCAGUGGCGAAGGCGGCCUCCUGGAC